This 433-nucleotide ribosomal RNA is filed under the name uncultured bacterium. Its description in RNAcentral is "bacterial SSU rRNA". It matches the Rfam family "Bacterial small subunit ribosomal RNA", at positions 343 to 768 of the family's 1533-position model. The record is from RNAcentral.
GGGAGGCAUCAGUGGGGAAUAUUGGACAAUGGGCGCAAGCCUGAUCCAGCCAUGCCGCGUGUGUGAAGAAGGCCUUCGGGUUGUAAAGCACUUUCAGCGAGGAGGAAAGGUUGUAACUUAGUACACUGCAGCUGUGACGUUACUCUCACAACAACCACCGGCUAACUCCGUGCCAACAUCCGCGGUAAUACGGAAGGUGCAAGCGUUAAUCGGAAUUAGAGGGCGUAAAGAGCGCGUAGGUUGUUUGUUAAACGAGAUGUGAAAGCCCCGGGCUCAACCUGGGAACUGCAGUUCGAACUGGCAAGCUAUAGUACGUUAAAGGGUGGGGGAAUUUCCUGUGUAGCAGUGAAAUGCGGAGAGAUGGGAAGGAACAUCAAUGGCGAAUGCGGCCACCAGGACUGAUACUGACACUGAUGUGCGAAAGCAUGGGGAG